CCUACGGGAGGCAGCAGUGGGGAAUCUUGGACAAUGGGGGAAACCCUGAUCCAGCGACGCCGCGUGAGUGAAGAAGUAUUUCGUUACGUAACGCUCUAUCAGCAUGAAAGCAAAUGACGGUACCUGACUAAGAAGCCCCGGCUACCUACGUGCCAGCAGCCGCGGUAAUACGUAGGGGGCAAGCUUUAUCCGGAUUUACUGGGUGUAAGGGGAGCGUAGACGGCAGCGCAAGUCUGGAGUGAAAUGCCGGGGCCCAACCCCGGAACUGCUCUGGAAACUGUGACGCUGGAGUGCAGGAGAGGUAAGCGGAAUUCCUGGUGUAGCGGUGAAAUGCGUAGAUAUCAGGAGGAACACCGGCGGCGAAGGCGGCUUACUGGACUGUAACUGACGUUGAGGCUCGAAGGCGUGGGGAGCAAACAGGAUUAGAUACCCUUGUAGUC
RNAcentral lists this ribosomal RNA (440 nucleotides) under uncultured bacterium. RNAcentral's name for it is "partial 16S ribosomal RNA". It matches the Rfam family "Bacterial small subunit ribosomal RNA", at positions 338 to 795 of the family's 1533-position model. The record is from RNAcentral.